UACUGCUGAGCCAGUUGGAGCAGAGAUCCCUGCAGCUGCAGGUGGACAACCAGGCACUGAAGUGCGUAUGGCCCGUGGAGGGGCGGGCGGCGGGGGCAGGCUGGGGCCAAGCUCCGGCCCAGCUCUUUCUGAUCCCACGACCCAGGCCAGUGACUUCCCCUCUCUACAGAAGCCUGCCAGACAGGCUGAGGCUUGGGGCAGGAUGGGGGCCCCUGUGGGCUUGGAGAUAAAUGGCAGGGCCCCUGGCCCCAGGUGGCCCCAGUCCUGGGGAAGGGGGAAGGCUGUUGACUCAUCCCAGUUGGGGUCCAGGAGCCAGAGAGACCAGCUGAGCCUGCAGCUGGAGCAGAAGCAGGUGGAUUUGCAGCAGCUACAGCAAAAACUGGCUAAUGAGCAGAAGGUUCGGGCCAGCCUGGAGGCGGCUCUGGUCCAGGCCACCUCCUUCCUACAGAACAUUCUGCAGGUGAGCAGAAGGGAGGGAGGGAGGGCGCAAAGGGAGGGGGAGUGAGCCCAAGAUGGAAGCUGCUUGCAGAGAAGGGGCAGCCUCAGGAUCAGAGGCCCCUCUUUUCCCUGAGAGACUCCUGGAAAGUCUGUCCUUCGCUGAUUCUGGCCUUCAAAGAUCCCUCCAAGGUCUUAAAGGAGUUGGAUUCCUUCUCUGAGGCUCUGAAAGGUCUCGGGCCUCAGUCUUCCAGACUGAAGAAUGGGUAUCCCACCACAGACAGGGAAAACUUUGUGGAAAUGGGCACUGAGGUUGGAAUUUCCUGGAGGAGGGUGGGUACUGGGGCCACUGUGGGCCUGCUGUCACCCCACCCUCACCAACAGAUGCACCCCGAUGAAGAGGACAGCGACUUUGACGUGACGUUCCAGCCAUGGCACAAGGAGAUGCUGCAGCAACUGCUGGUCAUGCUCGGCUCCACUGUGGUCCCGAGACCUCAGAAGGCUGUGUGUCCCCACCGGGAGUCACAGUCCCAUGGCCCACCCAAGGAGAGCGUCCCGUGGGCCCCAACGCAGAGGAGCGGAAACGCAGAGCAACGCUGCAGUGGGGAAGGGGCGCGAAGAAGGGGCCCAGAAACCCGACCCCUGAGAACUCCAGAAGGCUGGGCAGGCAGGGCGCCCUAGUGCAGGAACGGAGCUUCUGGAAGUUUGGAGCCCGUCGAGCACUGGACUCACCAGUUAAGAAAACAGAGCAGCAAUUUGGGGGCACUCGGCUCCCGGGACAUAAUGGCCGAACUGAAGCUAGGGACCGGGAGCCCCUACGUCGCCGCCCCACGCCACUCACCAUCCACCGCUUCCCCGGGGGCCGAGGCUCCAAAACACAUCUGCUCAUGGCUCUACUCAGCCGCUGUCCCGCGCCCAAAAAGCCGCGCGGCCUCAUGCUGCCCUCAUUCACUCCCCCGACACUGCCCCCUGACGUCAUCACCCCGCAGCAGCCAAUCGCGUUGCCAUCUGUUUGGCGUCGACCGCCAACGUCCAAUCCGGGCCGGGCUACAUGGCCGCCAUGCUUCUGAGGGGCGGAAGCGGCGAGAAGGUGGCCGAGUCCGGGAACCCAGGCGCCUUCAGUGGUGCGGCGUCACAGUGUCCCUGCGGGAUUUGUGUGGGACGCUCGGAGCUCUUGCUUGACCUUCGGUUGGGAGG
This 1632-nucleotide small RNA is filed under the name Pongo abelii (Sumatran orangutan). RNAcentral describes it as "retained intron". The record is from RNAcentral. Lineage: Eukaryota; Metazoa; Chordata; Mammalia; Primates; Hominidae.